CUUGGUUCUCACUCUCUCUUUGCCUGCUGCCAUCCAUGUUAAGAUAUGACUUGCUCCUCGUCUUCCGCCAUUAUUGUGAGGCCUCCCCAGCCAUGUGAAACUAGUUUUGCUCUUUUUGCCCAGGCUGCAAUGGCGUGAUCUUGGCUCACCGCAACCUCCGCCUCCCGGAUUCAAGCGAUUCUCCUGCCUCAGCCUCCCAAGUAGCUGGAAUUACAGAUAAAUGUUUCAGAAUGCUGCCACCAACCAUCCUGCAACCAUGAGUGGCAAGCCCAAGACCAAAAACCAAAUAUUGAGGAUGGCAAAGAAAAAAGAAAGAGACUGGACUGUUGGGGACAUCACUGAGCCACUUUGCCAAACCUGGAGUUGCCUACCUUCAAAAGUUUUGUUAUAUGACAUAAUUAAUCUUUACUGCUUUGCCACUUCUGGUGGAAUAUUUUAUUACUAUCACCAGAAGCAUUUCUUGGCUUCAAUAACACACAUACUCCAGUGUCACCUGCUUCAAGAGCACUCUACUCAUAAUUCUGACUAAUGUACAUUUCCACAUGUCUGACCCAAAGGAGGAAGAGGCAGAGCAAGACGGCUCAAUAGAAGCCUCCACUAAUUGUCCUCCCCACUGGAACACCAAAUUGAACAACUAUCCACACAAAGAAGCACCUUCGUAAGAACCAAAAAUCAGACAGUAUUUCUGGACCUGCCCUGGGCCAGAGGGGAGCCCGCUUCCCUGAAGGAACAGACUCAGAACUGCCAACAUCACCAAAAGCUGACAGAAGAACCCUUGGGCCUUGAGUGAACAUCGAUGGUGCCAGACAGAAAGUCAUCUCUCUGCUCAACUGAGACAAAUGCAGAUUCAUUGAGCCAGACUAAGGCAUAAGUGACUAUUCCUCUAUGUUCCCCAACAUGUAAAUUGUGGAUUCAGUGAAAGGCUGAUUGAAGAGUCAGAAGAAUGUAACUUUUUGUCUCUUAUCUACCUGGAACCACACCUUAUCUACCUGGAACUGUCCCCUCCCCGCCCCCCCAAUCCCGCCCUGUUUUGAGUUGUCCUGCCUUUCUGGACCAAAUCAAUGCACAUCUUACACAUAUUGAUUGAUGUCUCAUAUCUCCCUAAAAUGUGUAAAAGUGAGCUGUACCCUGACCACCUUGAGCACAUGUUGCCAGGACACAGCCUCCUGAGGGUACAUCUUUAACCUUGGCAAAAUAAACUUUCUAAAUUGAUUAAGGCCUGUCUCAGACACUUUGAGUUGACAAUACACAAAAACUAAAAAGGAAGAAAUUAAAAGAUACCACCAGAGAAAAUCGCAUUCACUAAAAGGAAGACCACAAAACAACCAGAAAACAAAUAACAAAAUGGCAGGCAUAAGUCCUUACUUAUCAAAAAUAGCAUUGAAUGUAAAUGAAAUAAACUCUCC
Molecule: long non-coding RNA, 1406 nt
Filed under: Homo sapiens (human)
Lineage: Eukaryota; Metazoa; Chordata; Mammalia; Primates; Hominidae
Description: HSALNT0367231
Source: RNAcentral